RNAcentral lists this ribosomal RNA (154 nucleotides) under Methanobacteriota archaeon. RNAcentral describes it as "Euryarchaeota archaeon partial 23S ribosomal RNA". It matches the Rfam family "Archaeal large subunit ribosomal RNA", at positions 2785 to 2942 of the family's 2987-position model. The record is from RNAcentral. Lineage: Archaea; Methanobacteriati; Methanobacteriota.
UACCAGUUGUCCGGCAGGGCAAUGCUGGGUAGCCACGCUCCAGUGGAUAAGAGCUGAAAGCAUCUAAGCUCGAAGUCAUCCGAAAGACGAGACACCUCAGGGGGCUCGUAGAAGACGAGUUUGAUAGACAGCGGGUGUAAGUACCGAGGUUUUC